Molecule: long non-coding RNA, 1788 nt
Filed under: Phoenix dactylifera (date palm)
Lineage: Eukaryota; Viridiplantae; Streptophyta; Magnoliopsida; Arecales; Arecaceae
Description: long non-coding RNA (PDAC_LNC013885)
Source: RNAcentral
UGAGAGGAUAAGCUUGGAUCUUAUCCAUGGGCGAUGAAGUUAAUCCAAGUGCUAGGAAGGAUUUGGAAGAGGAUGAGGAUGGGAGCAAAUCCAGAUGGGGUCUGGAUUCUCGGGAACGGCUUGGGACGUUGGGAGUAAUCCGGCAGAAGGUUGCUGGUUCUCAUCCGGAAGUGGCUGGGAAUUUGGCUGAGAUGAAGAUGCUAGGAUGAUGUUCACGAACGGGAGGAGAUGGAUGCCGAAUCUGCUGAACCGUGAUGAAGAGGAUGACGUUGAAUCCUAGCUGGUCGUGGGAUAAGGAUGAACUCGGACGGAUUCGUGAGCUGGGAGGAAGGCUGCGGACGACUAGAUUACAAUCAUGGGAGAGAGGAAUCCAGAAGAAGAUUGUGAGGAUCUCGGUUUGGGAAGCGGCUGAGAAGAAAUCUGGGAAGAAGGUGACAUGGUUACAACGCGGAGAAACAGGGGAUGUUGAUGUUCUAAUCUAGAUUCGGUUCUGGAUGAAUGUUGGGAAAUAGGGGAGCUGGGAAGGACGUAGAGGUUUGGAAUCGGCUGAUGGCUUGGUUUUGUUGUGGGACACGGGAGAUGAUGAUCUGGUGACGUUGUUGAGAGCUUAUCCGUGGAGGGGAUCUAGCGGGAGAAGCUGGGAUUUGAGUUUAUCCCACGGGCGAAGAGGAGGGGAGAUGAGCUGGGGCUCUCUACCGAAAUGCCAGGAGGGUGGAGGAGGUUUUGUUUGACGUGGAACAGGGGCUGAGCUUGCUCGUGGAUGAUGAACGGGAAGGCUAGGAUCAAACGCGAAUGCUGGGCUGUUUGGUAGAGAGACAUGGAGGAAGAUGGAAACGGGCGUGAGGGGAAAUCUGGAGGUUGGGAUGAUGGGAAUUGAACCGUUUGAAACAGGGGAGUUAAUCCUAUUCGGCUGGAAAAAGGCCAAUGACUAGAAUUCUCUGAGAUCUGUGCAACUAUAGAUGAAUAGAUGAUAUACUUUGAGAUCUGAGAAAUAAAUGAUUGAAAAGUGUGGGAAGAGAAGUAGGUGAACUUGUGAAGAAACAGGAAUUAAUGGGAAGCACUGGAUUUUGGAGGAGAGUUCUUGGAGUCGACUCCGGAGGAUGUGGAAUUAUGAAAUGAUGCAGUGUAGGUUUAGGUUUUAUCUUAUUGAGCUUGAUUCGACCUGCAUACAUUAAGCUUAAUCAAUAAUCAAAAUUGAAUUAAAAUGCAUUGAUGAAGGUGAACAUAUUUUUUAGUUGAAUUUACAAAAUAUGUGAAUUAAAAUAAUGAUAAGUGCUAUGAAUAAGAUAUUAGUUCAUGCAUUAUUUAGCACUUAUCAGAUAAGCAUAGAUUUUUCAAACUAUUGGAUAUAAGAGACACCCAAAAAUUUUCAUGAGGCAUCGUCUUCAUAUGCUGGCUAUUUAAACUUUAGGCGGAAAGCACUUUGAAGAUUUCAUGCAAUUUAAGUACCUUGUGUCCACUUUUAUUUUUUUAUUUAAAGUAAGCAUAGAGUAGAUGUGUUUCAUUUUUUACCCAGCUGCUUCUUGCUACAAGGAGUGGGUGGCUAGUGUUAAGUGUGACGAAGGAGGUUUUUCUGGGUGAAAAUCUUCUUAACUUGUUGGAGCAAACCAAUCAUGUUUUUGUAAAUUCCUAAGUAAACGUCAUAUAGAAAGUUCUUGGGUGUUGAUGGUUCUUCUUGAAAGUUUAAAUACCUUACGAUAGCUCGUUUAUGGUGUCUACACUAUUAUUUUGUUCCAAAUUUACGACUAUUAAAUCACACUUAUUAUAUGAAAUCUAAUGCAAAGUAGC